Pelobates cultripes (western spadefoot toad) is the source of this 220-nucleotide non-coding RNA. Lineage: Eukaryota; Metazoa; Chordata; Amphibia; Anura; Pelobatidae. The record is from the annotation of a GenBank genome assembly.
CCUCUCUCAAUUCUUCUUUGUCAGUCUCUUCUUAGCGUGAGUCCCCCCCCCAUCGAUUUUAAUACUUAUCCCUUCUCGUCCUAUUUUCCUGUGUACCACUCUUGCAUUUCUUUCUAAGGAAGACACAGAUUAGAUUUGCUCCUGUGUGGGAGGAAUUUCCAUUUCCAAGUCGCUGUGGAUUCCAGUCUCGCCUCACUGAUUAUUAUCAUCUUUCUCUGCG